GCGGGAGUAGCUCAGUGGUAGAGCACAACCUUGCCAAGGUUGGGGUCGCGGGUUCGACCCCCGUCUCCCGCUCCA
RNAcentral lists this transfer RNA (75 nucleotides) under Sulfurimonas autotrophica. Its description in RNAcentral is "tRNA-Gly". It matches the Rfam family "tRNA". From Rfam's summary of the family: Transfer RNA (tRNA) molecules are approximately 80 nucleotides in length. Their secondary structure includes four short double-helical elements and three loops (D, anti-codon, and T loops). Further hydrogen bonds mediate the characteristic L-shaped molecular structure. tRNAs have two regions of fundamental functional importance: the anti-codon, which is responsible for specific mRNA codon recognition, and the 3' end, to which the tRNAs corresponding amino acid is attached (by aminoacyl-tRNA synthetases). tRNAs cope with the degeneracy of the genetic code in two manners: having more than one tRNA (with a specific anti-codon) for a particular amino acid; and 'wobble' base-pairing, i.e. permitting non-standard base-pairing at the 3rd anti-codon position. RNAcentral also lists the same sequence under 5 other names. Lineage: Bacteria; Pseudomonadati; Campylobacterota; Epsilonproteobacteria; Campylobacterales; Sulfurimonadaceae. The record is from RNAcentral.